AGUGAACGCUGGCGGUAGGCCUAACACAUGCAAGUCGAACGGCAGCACAGUAAGAGCUUGCUCUUACGGGUGGCGAGUGGCGGACGGGUGAGGAAUACAUCGGAAUCUACUUUUUCGUGGGGGACAACGUAGGGAAACUUACGCUAAUACCGCAUACGACGUACGGGUGAAAGCAGGGGAUCUUCGGACCUUGCGCGUUUGAAUGAGCCGAUGUCGGAUUAGCUAGUUGGCGGGGUAAAGGCCCACCAAGGCGACGAGCCGUAGCUGGUCUGAGAGGAUGAUCAGCCACACUGGAACUUAGACACGGUCCAGACUCCUACGGGAGGCACCAGUGGGGAAUAUUGGACAAUGGGCGCAAGCCUGAUCCAGCCAUACCGCGUGGGUGAAGAAGGCCUUCGGGUUGUAAAGCCCUUUUGUUGGGAAAGAAAAGCAGCAGGUUAAUACCCCGCUGUUCUGACGGUACCCAAAGAAUAAGCACCGGCUAACUUCGUG
Molecule: ribosomal RNA, 492 nt
Filed under: uncultured bacterium
Lineage: Bacteria
Description: partial 16S ribosomal RNA
Rfam family: Bacterial small subunit ribosomal RNA
Source: RNAcentral